AGUGCAGGGGAAAGGACACGCCUUCCUCUCGACCGCACGGAAGGGAAGAUUCAUACCACAGCCGACAGAGUCAGGCGCAAGAUGGCUAUCACAGAACCGAUAUAGAGAUUGAUGUGUUUGCCGUGCGCUCCGGCAGCAGCGAUUCCGACAGGCCCCACGGCGGUCGCAACCCAGCCAGCGGCGAGAACCCUGGGACAAGGACAAUUACUAGCGUCGGCGCUACAGCAAGCGGAUCAGGCCAAGAGGACCUGCUUGUGGCCACCAAUAUUACAGAGGCGUGUAAGAGUGAAUCCAGUCUCGCUGCUCCGCCAUCGAAGCCGUCUGUAUCUUUUUGUUUUGUUUUGGUCGGAGUUUAUUUGCUCUAGAGAGACCAGUCACCUGGUAUGGAACAUCUACUAAUUUCAGAGAAUUUUGCAUGUUCGUCUCGGUGUGUCGUUACACAAUUUGCGGAUGUUGCAACGACACUGAAUCCUGCGUAGAGGUGACGGGCGGCGAAGAAGCUAGCCAAGCUGUGAAAACGGACACGGACAUAUGGUAGGUUAUCCUGUAUCCUUUUCAAUCGAAUGUAGGAUUGGAUACACAUAAUUAUAAAUCGAUUGUUUCAGGUAUGUUGUUGUUUGCUCCACUCUGCUCUUGGAACGCCUCAGCUGUUCCUCUUGCUCUAUCAUGAAUGCUUCUGUUAGCCAUACAACGUGAGCUCAGGGAUAUCUUUUUCCGAAACAGUGCAAAACCCAAUUAGUUAAAUGAUAUUUUUAGUGGAAAUGUAGAUACUAGAUUUUACUAGGACUACGAACUCGGCUCUCAGUCCAUUUCUGUAUAACAUUAAUUGGAUACUCAUUCUGUUCACAGACUCUUCAAGAGUAAGAGAGCUCUCAUGAUUUCGUUCAUCAUGGCUUGUUGAUGCUAAGAGAGCACUAUGCAAAUCUUGGCACUUCACCUGUUCUCACAUUGCCUCCUUCUGUUGACAAUCACAGAUGCCCACUAGAAAAUAGUAAUCCUCUUGGAUCAUCUUAGUCAGCUAUUUGGCAAUCAAACAGGUGCAUAUAUCUGGCAGUGGGUUUGAACAAGUCUAUCCUAUGUCUUAUGAAAUCGUAGUUUUGGGGCAAAACUUGAAGCUGUACUGUACUGUUCAUCACUCCAUCGUCUCAAUACACACGAGACCAGAAUCCAGGAAUGGGCUGCAGACUUGCGUGUUACUUUAUUUAGUAGUUUAGGACUUCUGAUGUUGGUUUCUAGGGGAUUAUGUAAUAGGGUUGUUUGCUCUAUUCUAAGAAUUUUAAUCUGCAUGACCCAACAAUCACCCUAGAAAUUAGUGAUUCGGGACAGUUUUGAGGUUCUCGAUAUUUGGCCUACUUGCCAAUUAAUUUAUUUUUCUUGUGGUCCUUGUAGGGGUUUGUGCUAGAGGAUGCUAAAGGUCUAUCACUUAAUGGGGACCUCAAUGUGCAUCCAGUGAUUGCAAGGUCUUUUCCCCUACACA
This 1477-nucleotide long non-coding RNA is filed under the name Zea mays. Its description in RNAcentral is "long non-coding RNA (ZMAY_LNC000504)". The record is from RNAcentral. Lineage: Eukaryota; Viridiplantae; Streptophyta; Magnoliopsida; Poales; Poaceae.